RNAcentral lists this ribosomal RNA (549 nucleotides) under Microbacterium sp. RNAcentral describes it as "bacterial SSU rRNA". It matches the Rfam family "Bacterial small subunit ribosomal RNA", at positions 242 to 803 of the family's 1533-position model. Lineage: Bacteria; Bacillati; Actinomycetota; Actinomycetes; Micrococcales; Microbacteriaceae. The record is from RNAcentral.
CAGCUUGUUGGUGAGGUAAUGGCUCACCAAGGCGUCGACGGGUAGCCGGCCUGAGAGGGUGACCGGCCACACUGGGACUGAGACACGGCCCAGACUCCUACGGGAGGCAGCAGUGGGGAAUAUUGCACAAUGGGCGCAAGCCUGAUGCAGCAACGCCGCGUGAGGGAUGACGGCCUUCGGGUUGUAAACCUCUUUUAGCAGGGAAGAAGCGAAAGUGACGGUACCUGCAGAAAAAGCGCCGGCUAACUACGUGCCAGCAGCCGCGGUAAUACGUAGGGCGCAAGCGUUAUCCGGAAUUAUUGGGCGUAAAGAGCUCGUAGGCGGUUUGUCGCGUCUGCUGUGAAAUCCCGAGGCUCAACUUCGGGUCUGCAGUGGGUACGGGCAGACUAGAGUGCGGUAGGGGAGAUUGGAAUUCCUGGUGUAGCGGUGGAAUGCGCAGAUAUCAGGAGGAACACCGAUGGCGAAGGCAGAUCUCUGGGCCGUAACUGACGCUGAGGAGCGAAAGGGUGGGGAGCAAACAGGCUUAGAUACCCUGGUAGUCCACCCCGU